RNAcentral lists this ribosomal RNA (497 nucleotides) under uncultured bacterium. RNAcentral describes it as "partial 16S ribosomal RNA". It matches the Rfam family "Bacterial small subunit ribosomal RNA", at positions 28 to 507 of the family's 1533-position model. The record is from RNAcentral.
GAUGAACGCUGGCGGCGUGCCUAAUACAUGCAAGUCGAGCGAACGGACGAGAAGCUUGCUUCUCUGAUGUUAGCGGCGGACGGGUGAGUAACACGUGGAUAACCUACCUAUAAGACUGGGAUAACUUCGGGAAACCGGAGCUAAUACCGGAUAAUAUUUUGAACCGCAUGGUUCAAAAGUGAAAGACGGUCUUGCUGUCACUUAUAGAUGGAUCCGCGCUGCAUUAGCUAGUUGGUAAGGUAACGGCUUACCAAGGCAACGAUGCAUAGCCGACCUGAGAGGGUGAUCGGCCACACUGGAACUGAGACACGGUCCAGACUCCUACGGGAGGCAGCAGUAGGGAAUCUUCCGCAAUGGGCGAAAGCCUGACGGAGCAACGCCGCGUGAGUGAUGAAGGUCUUCGGAUCGUAAAACUCUGUUAUUAGGGAAGAACAUAUGUGUAAGUAACUGUGCACAUCUUGACGGUACCUAAUCAGAAUGCCACGGCUAACUACGUG